UGGGCCACACAUGGGAGGCGGGCAGGUCUCCCUCAAUUUCUGUCCCUGGUGUCUGCAGGUGCUAAGGAUUCCCAGUGGGUGGCACCUGUAGAUCCCGGGUGCCUAUUCCGUUCCUGGCAGCCUUACCUGCCUGCAGCUCUGGCCCCAGCUGCCUGCGGGUCUGCAGGGGAUCGAUGGGGAGCCCAGGCCCCUCCCUUGUUAAUUCCCCGCGAGGUGUGCCUGCUCAGGCUCUCAGCUCGCCAUCCCUCACCGGUUGGACACGUGGGGACAUUUGGAUCUCGUUCAGGCCACAUUUGCCUGAGGGAAACUCAGACUGCUGUCAAGCUUUCUUCUGCUUUUCCUCUUUCCCAUGGGCAGGACUUGUACUCCUGGCUGCUGCUUCCAAAAUGCAGCCUGACUGUCCUAGUUUUUGGGGUAUCACACUGUAAUGGAUUCUGCGUAUUAAAACCUAUGCUUCCUCCACAAAUUGCGAAGCAGCAAAAAGCAGAGACUUGGGGCACAGACUUCACCAUCUCUCUUUUCCUUUUCUCUUCCGUCACAGUGACAGCAGAGAGCGGCGUGGGUGGGAAGGAAACCAGUUCUCCUGCCUGUCUCCUGCUCCCUCACCUUUUCGGCUUUGCACCUGGUGGAGUGUUCCUGGCAGAGUGUUCCGGUAGAGCAGCACCUGGUUAUUACCAAGAGCACAGUUUCAUCUGGACCUGCAGGCUGGUGAGGCCAGGAGAGAUUCACUCAGGGGCCAGUCCAAAAAACAGAACCUGGCUAGGAAUUUCAAACAGGUAACUUUUGAGAAAGGGUUUCAUUGGGGGUUUAGUGAACGUUAAAAAACUGCACAUAUUCAAAGUACACAAUUUGGUAAGUUUUGGCAUAAGUACACGCCCAUAAAACCACAAUCAAGAUAAUGCUCCUUUGUCUUCUUCCCCUGACGGUCUUUGAUCUGCUUUCUGUCACUAUAGGGCAGUUGGGAUUUUCUAGAAAUUUAUAUAAACGGAGUCAAGCAGUAUAUAUAUAUAUAUAUAAAAUAUGUAUAAAAAUAUAUUUUUAUUUUUUAUAAAAAUAAAUAUAUAUUUUAUA
RNAcentral lists this long non-coding RNA (1071 nucleotides) under Papio anubis (olive baboon). Its description in RNAcentral is "lncRNA (ENSPANG00000044912.1)". Lineage: Eukaryota; Metazoa; Chordata; Mammalia; Primates; Cercopithecidae. The record is from RNAcentral.